This 376-nucleotide ribosomal RNA is filed under the name uncultured eukaryote. RNAcentral describes it as "SSU rRNA". It matches the Rfam family "Eukaryotic small subunit ribosomal RNA", at positions 135 to 512 of the family's 1831-position model. The record is from RNAcentral.
UUACUCGGAUAACCGUAGUAAUCUAGAGCUAAUACGUGCGCACAUCCCGACUUCUGGAAGGGACGUAUUUAUUAGAUAAAAGGCCGACCGGGCUCUGCCCGCCUCGCGGUGACUCAUGAUAACUUCACGAAUCGCACGGCCUCGUGCCGGCGAUGUUUCAUUCAAAUUUCUGCCCUAUCGACUUUUGAUGGUAGGAUAGAGGCCUACCAUGGUGGUAACGGGUGACGGAGAAUUAGGGUUCAAUUCCGGAGAGGGAGCCUGAGAAACGGCUACCACAUCCAAGGAAGGCAGCAGGCGCGCAAAUUACCCAAUCCUGACACAGGGAGCGUAGUGGACAAUAAAUAACCAAUACCGGGCCUUUGGUCUGGUAAUUGGA